RNAcentral lists this long non-coding RNA (2537 nucleotides) under Equus caballus (horse). RNAcentral's name for it is "lncRNA (ENSECAG00000050007.1)". The record is from RNAcentral. Lineage: Eukaryota; Metazoa; Chordata; Mammalia; Perissodactyla; Equidae.
UUUUGUUUCUGAUUUGUUGCCCCUAUGAAACAAUGCUGCAAUAAACACCAUUACAUAUUGUUCCUUUUAUUUCUAUAGGAUAGAUUCCUGAGAGUGAGAUUCCUGGGUUAAAAGAGAUUCCUGGGUCAAAAGUGCAUUUUUAUUUUGAAUAUAUGUUGCCAGGCUUCUUUCCAAAAUGGUUGUAAUAAGUAACAUGUCUACAAGUGAAGAAUAUGAGUACCUUCCUCCCAGCAUCGCCAGCAAUCAGUGUUACCAUAUUUUCGAACCCUUGGCUCUGAGUGGAUAUAUAAGCCCCAGUCCAUAGUUGUAUAUUCUAGUUGUAAGUCCUCUUAGUUCUAUGUGAGCCACCACCACAGCAUGGCUACUGAAAGAUGAGUGGUGUGGUUCCAUGCCUGUGAACUGAUCCUGGGAUGCCAAAAUGGAGCCUGCUGAACUUUAACCACUAGAUGAUCAGGGCUGACUCCUCACAGGUAUUACUUCAUAGAAGUGACAUAAGAAUUUAAUAGAGUAAGGCAUGUAAGUGCUCAAGCGCUAUUUUUUUCUAAAGAUGUUAUUUUUUAGAGAAGGUUUAUGUUUACAAGAAAAUUGAGAGGACGGUACAGAGAUUUCCAGCAUACCCCCUACCCCCACACAUGCACAGCCUCCCCAACUGUCAACAGCAUUCACCAGAGUGGUACACUUAUCUUUUUUUACCAAAGAUGAACUUAUAUUGACAAAUCAUAAUCACCCGGAGUCCAUAGUUUACUUAAAGUUUCACUCUUGGUAUUAUACAUUCAUUGGUUUUGGACAAAUGUAUAAUGUAAACAUUAGGACAAAUGUAAAAGUAUAUUGAUUGUUAAAAUAUCAUGCAGAGUAUCUUCACUUCCCUAAAAAUCCUCUGUGCACUGCCUAUUCAUCUUCUUUCCCUCUCCAGCAACCACUGAUCUUUUUGUUAUCUCCAUAGUUUUGCCUUUUCCAGAAUGUCAGAGUUGGAAUCAUACAGGAUGUAGCCUUCUCAGAUUGGCUUCUUUCACUUAGUAAUAUGUAUUUAACUUUCCUCCAUGUCAUUUCACAGCUUGAUAGCUCAUUUCUUUUUAGCACUGAAUAAUAUUCCAUUGUCUGAAUGGACCAGAAUUUAUUUAUCCAUUCACCUAUUGAAGGACAUCUGGGUUGACAAGAGCUAUUUUUAAUAUUGUGAAAUGGAAAUUGUGUAAAAUUUUCUUUACACUUUGUGGGCUCAAUCAUUCUCAUAAAAAUAUCCCAUCAUUUUUAUAAAAUAUCUCUCUGUCUAUAUGAUAAAAUGUCACAUCUAAGUUAGAGGAUGAAGUGAGCCACAAUGCCUGGAGAGAACAAAAUCAUAUAAGCAGUUCCCGUUAGGAAUUCUGUCUUAACAAGGCUUGACCUUGUCUGGGUGUGCUAAACAUUAUGCAAAAAUCGAAGAUAGAAAUCUAUUAGGAUCUCAGCUAUUUGAAUUUACUCCACUCUUUCACUUUGUUUCCUGCUGUCACACACAGAUUUAAAUCCCAAUGUUAAGAAAAACUAAUUCUAAAAUUUAAAAAAUGAGGAAACAAAGCAUUAUUUAGCUUGAAGUCACAACAAGAACUGUCUGUUCCAAAUCCUUCAUUUGGAAACAGGAUUUUCUCCCCUGUUGUUCUCUAAACCAAAGGCCUUAAGCUGGAGCUCUCUGGCAUAAAUAACUGAAACCAAAUAUAGAUUCCUCCAAAUGCUAUUGGUAAAAAUUGUAAAUAGAAUCUUAAUUAUAAUACAUAUUCAUAGACCUCGGUGACCCAGGGAAAAAAGAAGAUUGAUAGAUUUAUUAUUUGAUAACCCAUUUUUGUUGGUAGAAAGGUGGUGUAUCCUUUCAAUAUUCAUCAUCUUUGUGUAAUCAAUUGGUCUGGUGAGAAUUCACCUCAGUCCACAUCUGUGUAGAGGAAAAAUAUGGUAGAAACUGCCUUAAUUCUGGCCUCCCUUUUACAUCUCCGCUGACACUGUCUAAUGAUCUGUUUCCAAAUUAUUCCCACAGCCUUUGAACUCAUCUUGGUGUUCUCAGAUUCUUACUUCUGCAGCCACCUUCCAUAUUAACAGUCGAUCCCUUAUAACAUCUCUAAGGACAUUCCGAUCUCUAUCUUGGCCCUGUGUUAGAAAACUGAUGCAUACACUCUUUGGCAACAGGAGAGUAUGGGACUCAUUCAAUGAGUUGCCUGUCUUCUCUAAAUAGAUCUUAGCUUAUUGUAGUGAUAUGCUGGAGUUAGAGUACAUCUGUUCAUUAGGAGGGCUGAUUGUGCACAUCUGUUCCCAACUCCCCUUCAGUGACAUCACAUUGCUAGUUUAAAAUAAGGCAUGGUAGGAGUAUUUAUACCAUGGAAAUGGGCAAACACACACACAUCACACUUUUUCCUCUGGAGAGAUGGUUGUUAAACCCUUACCAGAAUGCCACUGAUCAUUUGUCACUUCCUGAUCUCUUAAAUUAAAGCCUAUGGUAUAUGGUUAUGCUAACAUAACCAUGCUCCUCUCCUUUGUAGCACUUACCUUAGUUAUAAGUUGAUGUUCAUUUCCAG